This is a long non-coding RNA of Paramisgurnus dabryanus, 837 nucleotides long. RefSeq lists it as uncharacterized. NCBI's taxonomy places the organism in Eukaryota, Metazoa, Chordata, Actinopteri, Cypriniformes, Cobitidae. The record is from RefSeq and is a predicted model, not a curated record.
AUCUUAUACACACAUUGGAAAUAGUGGCAACACUUUAGUAUAGGGACAAAUUCUCACUUUUAACUAGUUUCUUAUUAGUUUAUUGUCUGUUUAUAAGUGCUUAUAAAGAACAUAUUAAUGCCUUAUUCUGCAUACCAUAUUGUACAUUCCUUAACCCAAUCCAACACCUAAACCCAACCGCCACAACAACUAUUAGCUUUUAAGUAGGAGUGAAUUGGGAGUUUACUGAGGCAAAAGUCACAGUUAAUAAUCAAUAAGUGUACUAAAGUGUUAGCGAAACAGUUUAUUUUACUAUGUUUUAUUUCCUUUUUUUAAUGCAUUUAUAAUGUAACCAUUUCAAUUGUAAUUAAGUCAGUACAAAUCAGUUGUUUAGUGUGCUUUAAUGUUUAAACGCUACCGAUUGCAGUAAAAUAUAUUCAUAUUCUAGCAAUGCUCUGCCACAUAUUUUGCUAUCAUAACUGCGCUUAUUUUCUUAUUGGUAUAAGUUGCAGACAAGUGGUAAUUGACAAGAAAUACACAGUUUUGCUGUUAGCGUUUCUUAGUCAUUUAGGUGUUUCUACAGCCUGAACCACCACCCUUAGAGAGGCUUUGGCUCAUUGAGGCCUAUAAGGGUUAAACCACUUCACGUGUUUUUUAGACUUCUGUUUAGCCUUGCAAUCAUGUUUUAUAUUUGAUGUAUUUUGUUCUGAAUGUUAAAGAUAAUCAAAUGUUUUUGAACAUUGAUAACAACUUUUAACAAAAUAAAUUUGAAGAAAUGUGAUGUAUGAAAGGUUUUCUGAAUAGCCAAUAUUAUAAUUGUCAAUGUUUGAUUAAUAAACAGUGAAGAGUGAUACUGCA